RNAcentral lists this ribosomal RNA (261 nucleotides) under uncultured bacterium. RNAcentral describes it as "partial 16S ribosomal RNA". It matches the Rfam family "Bacterial small subunit ribosomal RNA", at positions 92 to 354 of the family's 1533-position model. The record is from RNAcentral.
CGACCGGCGCACGGGUGAGUAACACGUAUGGAACCUGCCCGCAGCAGGGGAUAAGCGGAAGAAAUUCCGUCUAAUACCGCGUAACACCGCGGAGGGGCAUCCCUCGGCGGUUAAAGAUUCAUCGGCUGCGGAUGGCCAUGCGGCGCAUUAGCUAGUCGGCGGGGUAACGGCCCACCGAGGCGACGAUGCGUAGGGGUUCUGAGAGGAAGGUCCCCCACACUGGUACUGAGACACGGACCAGACUCCUACGGGAGGCAGCAG